CCCCGACAACCACGUUAAAUAGGGAGUGUACCCGUAUUUUAAUGUUAUGUUUGUGCUCUAGGGAAAAUCUAAAUCUGUUUAUCUGUUAACUGAUUUGUUUACAUAGCCGCUUUUAUAAGAGGUGUGCAUAACAAAUUAAAUGUUUACAUAUGGCUGUGUGUUUUAAAGUUAUAUAAAACCGGUUCUUAAUUUCAUAAAAGUGUUUUAAUUUUGUUAAGUUUUAAACGUAAUAACAAAGGAUCCAGCUGCUUGCAACAGCAGGCAGACAGACGCGCGCGCGUGUUGAAGGUCACGCCUGGGCGGGCAAGCCAACCUGCUGACUGACGAAGAUGACUGGACAUCACAUCAACUCCGGCCUGCAAUGACACAACAUGCUGUGAUGCUGCGGUCGCAAUGGCCAAUUUUCAUCUUUGGGGCCAUCCGACCGGCAGGGCACUCAUGACUGAUCAUUGUUCUGAGAUGUCACAAAUUAUGUAUGCUAAAUAAAAUGUCUACCAGCAGUUGCUUUUA
Molecule: long non-coding RNA, 510 nt
Organism: Bacillus rossius redtenbacheri
Lineage: Eukaryota; Metazoa; Arthropoda; Insecta; Phasmatodea; Bacillidae
Exons: 2
Source: RefSeq, a predicted model, not a curated record